GACUGCGCAUAAGUAUUGCUACAUCUAGUUCACCAGAACUGUGAAUAAUGCAUAUCUUGGUGGUUUGCCAACUGACCACAGAAGGAAAAACCCUGGGAUGGCUCACAGGCUUGGAAGACCAGACAGAGAUGAAUAUUUUGCACAGACUGAAGAAAUGUCGGGUUCGAGAGAGACGGAGAGCCCAAGGUCAAGAGCCGUACAGCCAUCUUUGCAUGGAGAAGGACCCAAGCGGAUGGUCACCGAGGAGACUCUGGCGGUGGUCAGGCUCUGAUCGUUAG
RNAcentral lists this long non-coding RNA (278 nucleotides) under Salvator merianae (Argentine black and white tegu). RNAcentral's name for it is "lncRNA (ENSSMRG00000018774.1)". The record is from RNAcentral. Lineage: Eukaryota; Metazoa; Chordata; Lepidosauria; Squamata; Teiidae.